GAUGAACGCUGGCGGCGUGCCUAAUACAUGCAAGUCGAGCGAACGGACGAGAAGCUUGCUUUUCUGAUGUUAGCGGCGGACGGGUGAGUAACACGUGGAUAACCUACCUAUAAGACUGGGAUAACUUCGGGAAACCGGAGCUAAUACCGGAUAAUAUUUUGAACCGCAUGGUUCAAAAGUGAAAGACGGUCUUGCUGUCACUUAUAGAUGGAUCCGCGCUGCAUUAGCUAGUUGGUAAGGUAACGGCUUACCAAGGCAACGAUGCAUAGCCGACCUGAGAGGGUGAUCGGCCACACUGGAACUGAGACACGGUCCAGACUCCUACGGGAGGCAGCAGUAGGGAAUCUUCCGCAAUGGGCGAAAGCCUGACGGUGCAACGCCGCGUGAGUGAUGAAGGUCUUCGGAUCGUAAAACUCUGUUAUUAGGGAAGAACAUAUGUGUAAGUAACUGUGCACAUCUUGACGGUACCUAAUCAGAAAGCCACGGCUAACUACGUG
This 497-nucleotide ribosomal RNA is filed under the name uncultured bacterium. RNAcentral describes it as "partial 16S ribosomal RNA". It matches the Rfam family "Bacterial small subunit ribosomal RNA", at positions 28 to 507 of the family's 1533-position model. The record is from RNAcentral.